Long non-coding RNA from Homo sapiens (human), 3277 nucleotides. Ensembl annotates it as hepatocellular carcinoma up-regulated long non-coding RNA. Its record names the gene HULC. The record is from Ensembl. NCBI's taxonomy places the organism in Eukaryota, Metazoa, Chordata, Mammalia, Primates, Hominidae.
CGCCUUUCAGCCUUUACCUCUACCCACUGAAAUGGAGUAGGUCGGUGAGCGCCGAUCUGCUGGAGAAUCUCAUUAUCCCAUCGGCGCUCUGCCUGCUCCUGGCCUCCAAGCCUCUGAAGCCCCUCGGGUUUCAGCUGCCGGCUACCCUCGAGCCCGUGGUGCCCACGAGAGAGGCGACUUUACGUCAGCGGCCCUGGGCUGAGAUUUGAGAACGCGACCAAGUGGAGAAUGUUGGAGCCAGAUUUUAAAAUCCUUGUCUUCCUUCUGCGUGCUACUUGAUCUAAAUGAGAUACGGCAAAGUCACAGAACCUGUUUUUAUGUUUUUGCCUGAUUCAUACGGGCUUCUCCGGUGAAGAUGGGCCUGAAGUAACGCUUGGGUUGCUUCUGACGUUAUAACUCAUCCUGUAGCUGCAGCAACCGUGGUCCUUGCAACCUCAUAAAAAUGUUGCCAGCAUUGUUUCGAUAGUGCUGCUUAAUUCUUGGAAGGCCUCUUUGCUUUCUUCCCUGAGGUUCUUCGGACUUCACACAUUCCAGCAGUAGCUCUCUCAGCUCCUGUCCUGCACAGCUUUGAAGUGCUGGUGAUGUCAUUGAACUCUUAAGUGCAAGAUGAAACAAGUCUUUCUGGGGUUCUAAGUAGUUUCUAGGGCUACAUGAAUCAUCUGAAGCCUCUUCCGGAUGCUAUAAGCAGCCAUGGAUGGGCGGAGAAAAGAUCCUUGGGCCAGCGUCUCCCUUAGGGUCCUUCCUGCCAUGAUAUUGUCGUCUUCAAAGUGUCUUCUGUAAAGACUUCUUCAGACUGUCAAUAGGAAGACUGAUAAACUCAGCAACAGUAUCAGAGAAAAGUAUCAAGGAAGGACUAGAACCUUGUCUGUCACUUGCUGUACCCCACCUAUCUUCAAAUCCAGUUGACUCCAAGUGAACUCUGCAAAAUUCCCAGGCUGGAGUGCGAUGGCGCGAUCUCUACUCACUGCAACCUCCAUCUCCUGGGUUCAAGCAAUUCUCCCUCAGCCUCCCGAGUAGCUAGGACUACAGCCAGCAAGGGAGACAGUGUCUAGAGGCAGUCAUCUAGCAAGAUGGAGACUUACAACAUGAGGCACAUACAAGAGUGACCUCCCAUCGUCUUUGAGGCAUUCUAUUUCUUGUGUCUUUGUGAAGCUUCCUAUCUUUGCUUUUCAACUAAGAUGAAACAGCAUUUAAAAGAAAAUGCCAUGUGAGAUGAGAUCAGGAGAAUGGAUUCUUUCUUUCAUCUGAAUAGAGAGCUGCUGUUCGAGAUUCUAACUCAAAUAGCUCAAAGGACACCUUCUCCGGGAAACCUUCCCUGACUUCCGACGCUGUUUCCUGUUGGGCAUCUAUGUAAAUCAUUUGGAGUUUUUGCCUUUCCUCUUAGAAGAAAAAUAUGAAUGAUUUGACUGAACAGGCCUAUAGCCAAACCCAAGAUGAUCUUUCCAAGCGUGAACUCCAUCUUCAAACUUCUAAUCUUAAACCUUAAAGAAGAAACUAUGGCAAUGUCUCUUCCACCACUCUUGACUAGCAUGAUGUGUUGCCAAAAGACUUCAGAUCAUAAGUGCGAAAUAAAAAAUCAAAAAUUGACUGCAUCUUUUCUCAUUGCUCAACAACUGUCAAACAACUGAGAAAUUUGUUUUGGAUGAAGCAGUAACAUUCCUUCUUCCACUCCCAGCCCCAUUCCACGUAGUCUGCAGUUCCUCACUGACCACUGAUUGAUGUCAACGUGCAAACUCUCAGACAGAAGACAAGAAAUAUGUCCUGGGUUUUCUGGUUCCUCAAGCUUCUGACUAGGACCAGAGCCAGCAAUUACACACACUUAUCCCUAUUCUUUCCAUGAAUGCAGAGAAAGAAAGACCUUCUUGGGCUGUAAGAAAUACUCUAUUCCUCACACAUAAUAACUAAGGCUCAGCAGCUUGUAAAAAGGCAUGGUCCAGGGCAUGUCAGGACAAGGAAGAGCGGUAAGUUGUUUCUCUGUCUUUCCUCUGUAUUCUUUCAUAAUUGGGACAAGGCCUCAGCUGACAAGGAGCUGGCAGAACACUGGGGACAGCUGGUAUGUAAGAACCAACACCGUCCCAUCAGUCAUUUAUUCAACACAUGUUUAUUGAGUAUCUGCAACGUGACUGCACCGUUAUAGAGUCUGCAUUGUUGUAGGUCCUGAGAAAAAAACUGCAAAGCAAAAGUACACACAGGCUUGCCCUCCUGAAAUGUACAGUCAGGUGGAGAUGGCAGAUAUUAAGAAACUAACUUGUGCUAUUGAAGUUUAAAAGAAAGGGAUCUUACUGAGUCUGAGGAGAGGGAUGAAUCAAUGCAGACUUCCUAGAAGAACUGGCAUAUAAACCAAGAACUGAAAGAGGAAUAGACAUUAAACCAGAAAACAGAAUGGAAGAAAAAUAGAUUUACGAUGCAAAAACCGUAAAGGAAAGAGUUCAGUAUGACUGGAAUAUAUAGACAGAAGAUAAUGGUUUAUGAUAAGACUGAAAAGGAAUGCAGGGUCUAGAUAAAGAGACUCUUCAAAUUAGUAAGAAUUUUUUUGAGACAAUAAAAGACCAUUUUGCUUUGGCAAAAUAAUAAUAAUAAUAACACUCAGUGUAGUGUGAACUAUAAAUUUAGGAGAGCAAGAGUAAUUGUGGGGAAAUCAGUUAAGAGACUUGCUUUAGCCAAGAAAACAGUUGAUGUUGGAUUAAACCAUGGAGAAGAUAAUGGAGAUAAUGACAAGUGGACAGAUUUUGGAAAUCAAUAUCUUUUGGUAAUUAAUUGAACAUAGGAGAAAGAAGAAAAGAUGGGGUUACAUAGGACUCUGAAAUUUCUGAACAAUCAGCUGGGAAGAUGAUAGCAUUAUUUGUUGUGUAAAGAACAUGAGAAGAGGCUCGGGAUUGGAAGGACACAUGAGGAGCUCUGGUUUUGACACAGUGAGUGUGGUAUAUGGGCUCUCACUUACGUGGGUCUAGAGCUAAGAAGAGAAGUCAUGGGUUGGACGCAAAAGUGUGGGUUUUGGCAGCAUUUAGGUAGUAAAAAUUUGGCAAAUGGUUAAGAGUAUAUUACAGGAAAAGAAAAUAAUUUAGGUCAGAGUCCAGAGGAAAGCAUACAUUUAACACAGAAGAAUAAAACCUGAGAAAUAACUGGUAAACGAGAUUAGGAAGCAGUCAGAGAGGAAGAAAGCCAGGAGGAUACGGUGUGGCAUGGAAGCCAAUGGAGAGAUUGUUUCAAGAAGAAGAAGAUAGUUAACAGUAGGGAAUUAUCAACAUAGAGAUUAAGAAAUGUGGAUUUACCAAUA